Molecule: ribosomal RNA, 583 nt
Filed under: uncultured bacterium
Lineage: Bacteria
Description: bacterial SSU rRNA
Rfam family: Bacterial small subunit ribosomal RNA
Source: RNAcentral
ACGGGUGAGUAAUGUAUCGGAACGUGCCUAGUAGCGGGGGAUAACUACGCGAAAGCGUAGCUAAUACCGCAUACGCCCUACGGGGGAAAGCAGGGGAUCGUAAGACCUUGCACUAUUAGAGCGGCCGAUAUCGGAUUAGCUAGUUGGUGGGGUAACGGCUCACCAAGGCGACGAUCCGUAGCUGGUUUGAGAGGACGACCAGCCACACUGGGACUGAGACACGGCCCAGACUCCUACGGGAGGCAGCAGUGGGGAAUUUUGGACAAUGGGGGAAACCCUGAUCCAGCCAUCCCGCGUGUGCGAUGAAGGCCUUCGGGUUGUAAAGCACUUUUGGCAGGAAAGAAACGUUCCGGGUUAAUACCCCGGGAAACUGACGGUACCUGCAGAAUAAGCACCGGCUAACUACGUGCCAGCAGCCGCGGUAAUACGUAGGGUGCAAGCGUUAAUCGGAAUUACUGGGCGUAAAGCGUGCGCAGGCGGUUCGGAAAGAAAGAUGUGAAAUCCCAGAGCUUAACUUUGGAACUGCAUUUUUAACUACCGAGCUAGAGUGUGUCAGAGGGAGGUGGAAUUCCGCGUGUAGCAG